ACCGCCAUGUCUUUGAAUAAUUGUGACAGUAAGCGGUCAAACCUACUACGACUCUAUCUUCAUUGGCUGCGGUUUAACUCAGUGUUUACAUCGGAGUUUCAACACACUGCAUGAGAACACUACAAACAGUGUUUGUGAGCUUUCUAAAGUGUAGCUAUGCUAACCUAGCAUGUGGGUGUUUUCUUCUACUGAAGGUAUUGUCGUAGAAAGCCGGUGAAGCCAUUUCCUGCUGUCAUUAUAUUCUGUUUGCAUGUGGGUAUUCUGUUUGUGUUUUGUAACUGUAAAUUGUAUUGUUUGUUUUGCAAGUGUAAAUUAAUGGUUAUAUUUUUAUAUAUUAAUUUACAAAGAAAAACCGAAUUUGCCACCAUGGAUAAAUGCAUAUCUGUUAAAGGAACAUGUUAAUUUAAUUAUUUAGAACUUUGUGUAUGCUUUCUCAGUUAGCUUCAGGCCUCACUGAGGAGAAGUAUUGAGGUAGAAAGCUGGUGAAGCCAUUUCCUGCUGUCAUUAUAUUCUGUUUGCACAGAUAAUAAACCUGGUUGGCAAGAAGGAAGCCAUAUUCAGUCGACAACACAACGCAGAGAUACAUGUGGCGUCAACCCAGAGAAUGAUUAGAUAAAUAGAGAAAACGGAUAUAAUUUGCUUAUUAUCUGAUUACCAGCUCUGCACAGCAGACUUGUAACACUAGCAGCAGUGGAGAUGGAGCAUCAGAACCUGGAGAAUACAGCAACAACAACAAGGAUCCAUUUGAAGAUAGCUGCCUGGGCCUAGCAGCAAGAACCUCCAUCUGUGCCUGCACCCAGGUCAAGAUCUACCGUGGCUCAAGGGCCUUCACCAGAGCCAUCACCACCAAGGACCAGAGGACCAGCAUCACUACAGCACCCUCCAUCUGUGCCUGCCACAAGAUUAAGAUACACCUCGGUACAAAGGCCUCCACCACAGCCAUCACGAUCAACCCAGCCAGCAAAGAAGUCUCGCCUAGCACACCUCCCUCCCUCCGACACAGCCACCAGCAGCCCAUGCACCAUCACCCCCACCUACACAGCAGCCAGACCCACUGUCUUGGAAGACAGACAAAGACCAUGGCACUGCUCCCCCUGUCUUUACAUUUAUAAUGAAUAGUUGGUUGAGAAAGUUCUGAUAUUGUCAGGGUUCGUACAGUCAUUAAAAACCUGGAAAAGUCAUGGAAUGCAAUAUUUUUCCCAAAGUUUUGGAAAAGUCAUGGAAAUAUAACUAAAGUUGCAUCAAAUAUAAUUUAUAUGUUAUCUAAUCGCCGAAAUAGUAAUACUAUAAUGAUAAUAAAUACUGUAUCGUAUAAUGAAACGUAAAAUGGCAACUGUGGCAGUAUUUCGCUGGUGAGAGAUGUUUACAAUCACGCCCUCUAGUCUACUAUUUUAUAUAAAGCUGCCAAGAUGCUAGGGAAGUGCAGUUUCAACAAUGUAUGGCUUCUAAAGAAUAAGUACCAAUUGUGGUUAUCAAAAGACAUUGACCCAAGAUGUGCUAAAUGCAAACUGUGUUGUAACAUAUUCAAUAUUUCGAAUAUGGGCGAGGCAGCGCAUGCUAGCCACAUGAAAGAGUCAUUUAAAAUCAUUGGUGAAAAAGUGUAUGAACCCUGUAUUGUAAAUAUUGAGAUUUUACAGUUUCUUAUGUUAACAUAAAUA
Gymnodraco acuticeps is the source of this 1658-nucleotide long non-coding RNA. RefSeq lists it as uncharacterized. The record is from RefSeq and is a predicted model, not a curated record. The transcript is spliced from 3 exons. NCBI's taxonomy places the organism in Eukaryota, Metazoa, Chordata, Actinopteri, Perciformes, Bathydraconidae.